This 749-nucleotide ribosomal RNA is filed under the name Lentilactobacillus buchneri. RNAcentral's name for it is "bacterial SSU rRNA". It matches the Rfam family "Bacterial small subunit ribosomal RNA", at positions 70 to 804 of the family's 1533-position model. The record is from RNAcentral. Lineage: Bacteria; Bacillati; Bacillota; Bacilli; Lactobacillales; Lactobacillaceae.
CCUGAAAGAUUUAACAUUGAGACGAGUGGCGAACUGGUGAGUAACACGUGGGUAACCUGCCCUUGAAGUAGGGGAUAACACUUGGAAACAGGUGCUAAUACCGUAUAACAACCAAAACCACCUGGUUUUGGUUUAAAAGACGGCUUCGGCUGUCACUUUAGGAUGGACCCGCGGCGUAUUAGCUUGUUGGUAAGGUAACGGCUUACCAAGGCGAUGAUACGUAGCCGACCUGAGAGGGUAAUCGGCCACAUUGGGACUGAGACACGGCCCAAACUCCUACGGGAGGCAGCAGUAGGGAAUCUUCCACAAUGGACGAAAGUCUGAUGGAGCAACGCCGCGUGAGUGAUGAAGGGUUUCGGCUCGUAAAACUCUGUUGUUGGAGAAGAACAGGUGUCAGAGUAACUGUUGACAUCUUGACGGUAUCCAACCAGAAAGCCACGGCUAACUACGUGCCAGCAGCCGCGGUAAUACGUAGGUGGCAAGCGUUGUCCGGAUUUAUUGGGCGUAAAGCGAGCGCAGGCGGUUUUUUAGGUCUGAUGUGAAAGCCUUCGGCUUAACCGGAGAAGUGCAUCGGAAACCGGGAGGCUUGAGUGCAGAAGAGGACAGUGGAACUCCAUGUGUAGCGGUGAAAUGCGUAGAUAUAUGGAAGAACACCAGUGGCGAAAGCGGCUGUCUGGUCUGUAACUGACGCUGAGGCUCGAAAGCAUGGGUAGCGAACAGGAUUAGAUACCCUGGUAGUCCAUGCCGUA